CACCAACUCCCUUCCUGUGAGCUGGCCCAUGAUCAGCCAAUUCCCACUGAUCUGUUUUUUGUCAUCGCCGAGCACAAACAUUAACCGACUUAAAACCUGGAGUAGAUUCCGCACACAACAGACUCUUGCUAAAUUAUCCUAAAUGGCAAGGAUGGUUGUGAGGAAACAUCAGUGGGGCUGACCUGGCCCAACCAGAGGACGAAAGCUUCUCCCCAGGCUGCCAAGCAACCACCUGCCAAGAGCGUCUCUGUGCAGUCCCCACGGAAGCCAGUGGCAUUCAGGCUUCCGAGAGCAGCUUCCAAUGCCAGUGUUCGCAUCUGGGGUUUGGUUUGGAACUCAGCUCGGACACUGCAAGGCCAAAGGGAUUAGUCAACAGUGCUUGUUAAACACAGACCUCAUGCCUAACACCAUGCCUGGCACCGUCGAUUAAAAGAAAACAUUUCAUGCGUGGCUCUUGCUUGCAGGAGAACCGCCAUCUGGCUGGGAUGCUCAUGGCAGACCCUGCCAAGGCACAGCCUAAUGCGAGAUGAAUCUGAGUGUCAGCUCGACUGCAGCUCAGGGAGAAGGACCAGGAGAGAAAGCAUGGGCCUGUCCUCAGGUUCAUCCGGGUUCCAUCCUAGCUUCACAGCCUAACAGCUGUGUGCCCCUGGGCAAGUAACCCAGAGUCUCUGUUCCUCCACUCUCUCAUGUCCACAAUAGGUCAUGGUGAUCAAAAUUAUGUACAAUGUGCCCGGAGUGUUAUAUUAAUAACAGUAGCUUCAUUUCUACAAGAUGUGCUAUGUGUCCACACUGUACCAAGUGCUUUACAUAAAUAAACUCAUUUUAUUCUCCUAUAUUCUUUUUUAUUUUAUUCUCCUUUAUUCUCUAUAAGGAAGGGAAAUAUGAGUACCUCCAUUUUACAGAUGAAGAAAUGGAGACCCAGAGGAAUGAAAGAACUGCCCAAAGUAAUCCAGCUAGGAAGGGGUCAUCUCAGUGCCUGAUACUCCCACUGUCCUUCGCCCCACUGACCACCGUGGAGCAGCAGAUGAAAUGGGCUUGAGGAGCCAGAGAAACUCAGACAUAAUUAGAUGCAUUAAUAUGGUGAUGCACACCCAUGUUCCUGGAAGUAUGACUCAUAAUAGCCAAAAGGUGGAAGUGAAGGCACCCAAGUGUCCCUUCAUGAGCGAAUGACAUAUACACAUACAAUGUAAUAUUAUACAACCACUAAAAGGACGGAAAUUUUGACACAUGAUACAAUAGGGAUGAAGCAUAAGGACAUUAUGCUAAGCCAGUCACAAAAUGACAAAUACUCUAUGAUUCCAUUCGUAAGAGGUACUUAGAGGUGUUAAAAUCACAGAGAUAGGCUAACACAGUGAAACCCCGUUUCUACUAAAAAAUACAAAAACUAGCGGGCGGUGGUGGCCUGUAGUCCCAGCUACUCAGGAGGCUGAGGCAGGAGAAUGGUGUGAACCCAGGAGGCGGAGCUUGCAGUGAGCUGAGAUCCGGCCACUGCGCUCCAGCCUGGGCGACACAGCGAGACUCUGUCUCAAAAAAAAAAAAAAA
RNAcentral lists this long non-coding RNA (1542 nucleotides) under Macaca fascicularis (crab-eating macaque). RNAcentral describes it as "lncRNA (ENSMFAG00000057109.1)". The record is from RNAcentral. Lineage: Eukaryota; Metazoa; Chordata; Mammalia; Primates; Cercopithecidae.